RNAcentral lists this ribosomal RNA (179 nucleotides) under uncultured bacterium. RNAcentral describes it as "partial 16S ribosomal RNA". It matches the Rfam family "Bacterial small subunit ribosomal RNA", at positions 1322 to 1500 of the family's 1533-position model. The record is from RNAcentral.
GAAGCUGGAAUCGCUAGUAAUCGCGGAUCAGAAUGCCGCGGUGAAUACGUUCCCGGGUCUUGUACACACCGCCCGUCACACCAUGGGAGUCGGAAAUGCCCGAAGUCUGUGACCUAACCGUAAGGAAGGAGCAGCCGAAGGCAGGUCGGAUGACUGGGGUGAAGUCGUAACAAGGUACC